GCCUGAGAAAUGGCCACUACGUCUAAGGAUGGCAGCAGGCGCGCAAAUUACCCACUCUCGGCGCGAGGAGGUAGUGACGAGAAAUAACGAGACCGUUCUYUACGAGGCCGGUCAUCGGAAUGGGUACAACCUAAACCCUUUAACGAGUAUCUAUGAGAGGGCAAGUCUGGUGCCAGCAGCCGCGGUAAUUCCAGCUCUCAAAAUGCAUAGACAUAUUGCUGCGGUUAAAAAGCUCGUAGUUGGAUCUGUACCCGCGCGCCGGCCCACCCAGCCGGGUGCGCACUGGUUGCGCGGGCUUCGUGCCGGUCUACCGCCAGCAAUGGCGGCGGCUGGCGAGUUUACUUUGAACAAAUCAGAGUGCUCAACACAGGCGUCUCGCCUGAAUGUUCGUGCAUGGAAUAAUGGAAGAGGAUCACGGUCCUAUUUUAUUGGUUUUGCGGACUGAGGUAAUGGUUAACAGAGACAAACGGGAGCAUUCGUACCGCUGCGUGAGAGGUGAAAUUCUUGGACCGCAGCGAGACGCACGACAGCGAAAGCAUUUGCCAAGCAUGUCUUCAUUAAUCAAGAACGAAAGUCAGAGGUUCGAAGGCGAUCAGAUACCGCCCUAGUUCUGACCGUAAACGAUGCCAACUAGCGAUCCGCCGGCGGAUUUUUCGCCCUGGUGGGGAGCUUCCCGGAAACGAAAGUCUUCCGGUUCCGGGGGAAGUAUGGUUGCAAAGCUGAAACUUAAAGGAAUUGACGGAAGGGCACCACCAGGAGUGGAGCCUGCGGCUUAAUUUGACUCAACACGGGGAAACUCACCCGGGCCGGACACCGCGAGGAUUGACAGAUCGAGAGCUCUUUCUUGAUUCGGUGGAUGGUGGUGCAUGGCCGUUCUUAGUUCGUGGAGCGAUUUGUCUGGUUUAUUCCGAUAACGAGCGAGACUCUAGCCUGCUAAAUAGUGGAGCCAUUGCCUUGUGGCCGCCGCUUCUUAGAGGGAUUGGCGGCUCCCAGCCGCACGAAACUGAGCAAUAACAGGUCUGUGAUGCCCUUAGAUGUCCGGGGCUGCACGCGCGCUACACUGGCGAAGGCAGCGUGCCUGUCCUGCCGCGAAGGCGGUGGGUAAACCAUUGAAAAUUCGCCGUGAUUGGGAUCGGAGAUUGCAAUUAUUCUCCGUGAACGAGGAAUUCCAAGUAAGUGCGAGUCACCAA
This 1190-nucleotide ribosomal RNA is filed under the name Malenchus ovalis. Its description in RNAcentral is "SSU rRNA". It matches the Rfam family "Eukaryotic small subunit ribosomal RNA", at positions 396 to 1654 of the family's 1831-position model. The record is from RNAcentral. Lineage: Eukaryota; Metazoa; Nematoda; Chromadorea; Rhabditida; Tylenchidae.